AUUGAACGCUGGCGGAAUGCUUUACACAUGCAAGUCGAACGGCAGCACGGGGGUAACCCUGGUGGCGAGUGGCGAACGGGUGAGUAAUACAUAGGAACAUACCCAGUAAUGGGGGAUAACGCCGAGAAAUCGGUGCUAAUACCGCAUACGCCCUACGGGGGAAAGCGGGGGAUCUUAGGACCUCGCGUUAUUGGAUUGGCCUAUGUCUGAUUAGCUAGUUGGUGAGGUAAAGGCUCACCAAGGCUACGAUCAGUAGGGGGUCUGAGAGGAUGUCCCCCCACACUGGUACUGAGACACGGACCAGACUCCUACGGGAGGCAGCAGUAGGGAAUAUUGGUCAAUGGGCGCAAGCCUGAACCAGCCAUGCCGCGUGCAGGAUUAAGGCCCUAUGGGUCGUAAACUGCUUUUGUACGGGAAGAAACCUAUCUACGUGUAGAUAGUUGACGGUACCGUGAGAAUAAGGAUCGGCUAACUUCGUG
Molecule: ribosomal RNA, 479 nt
Filed under: uncultured bacterium
Lineage: Bacteria
Description: bacterial SSU rRNA
Rfam family: Bacterial small subunit ribosomal RNA
Source: RNAcentral